RNAcentral lists this ribosomal RNA (734 nucleotides) under uncultured eukaryote. Its description in RNAcentral is "SSU rRNA". It matches the Rfam family "Eukaryotic small subunit ribosomal RNA", at positions 670 to 1426 of the family's 1831-position model. The record is from RNAcentral.
CGGGUGCACUGAUCCGGCCGGGCCUUUCCCUCUGUGGAACCCCAUGGCCUUCACUGGCUGUGCGGGGGAAACAGGACUUUUACUGUGAAAAAAUUAGAGUGCUCCAGGCAGGCCUAUGCUCGAAUACAUUAGCAUGGAAUAAUAGAAUAGGACGCGUGGUUCUAUUUUGUUGGUUUCUAGGACCGCCGUAAUGAUUAAUAGGGACAGUCGGGGGGCAUCAGUAUUCAAUUGUCAGAGGUGAAAUUUCUUGGAUCUAUUUGAAAGACUAACUACUGCGAAAGCAUUUGCCCAAGGAUGUUUUCAUUGAUAAGGAACGAAAGUUAGGGGAUCGAAGACGAUCAGAUACCGUCGUAGUCUUAACUAUAAACUAUGCCGACUAGGGAUCGGACGAUGUUAUUUCUUGACGCGUUCGGCACCUUUCGAGAAAUCAAAGUGCUUGGGCUCCAGGGGGAGUAUGGUCGCAAGGCUGAAACUUAAAGAAAUUGACGGAAGGGCACCACCAGGGGUGGAACCUGCGGCUUAAUUUGACUCAACACGGGGAAACUCACCAGGUCCAGACACAGUGAGGAUUGACAGAUUGAGAGCUCUUUCUUGAUUCUGUGGGUGGUGGUGCAUGGCCGUUCUUAGUUGGUGGAGUGAUUUGUCUGCUUAAUUGCGAUAACGAACGAGACCUUAACCUGCUAAAUAGCCCGUACUGCUCUGGCAGUUCGCCGGCUUCUUAGAGGGACUAUCGG